RNAcentral lists this transfer RNA (72 nucleotides) under Camelus bactrianus (Bactrian camel). It matches the Rfam family "tRNA". From Rfam's summary of the family: Transfer RNA (tRNA) molecules are approximately 80 nucleotides in length. Their secondary structure includes four short double-helical elements and three loops (D, anti-codon, and T loops). Further hydrogen bonds mediate the characteristic L-shaped molecular structure. tRNAs have two regions of fundamental functional importance: the anti-codon, which is responsible for specific mRNA codon recognition, and the 3' end, to which the tRNAs corresponding amino acid is attached (by aminoacyl-tRNA synthetases). tRNAs cope with the degeneracy of the genetic code in two manners: having more than one tRNA (with a specific anti-codon) for a particular amino acid; and 'wobble' base-pairing, i.e. permitting non-standard base-pairing at the 3rd anti-codon position. Lineage: Eukaryota; Metazoa; Chordata; Mammalia; Artiodactyla; Camelidae. The record is from Rfam by way of RNAcentral. RNAcentral also lists the same sequence under 1 other name.
UGGGGAAUAGCUCAGUCAGAGAGCGCAUGGUUGGCAUGUACAAGGGCCUGGGUUCAAUCCCCAGUACCUCCA